Molecule: ribosomal RNA, 253 nt
Filed under: uncultured bacterium
Lineage: Bacteria
Description: partial 16S ribosomal RNA
Rfam family: Bacterial small subunit ribosomal RNA
Source: RNAcentral
UACGUAGGGUGCGAGCGUUAAUCGGAAUUACUGGGCGUAAAGCGUGCGCAGGCGGUGAUGUAAGACAGAUGUGAAAUCCCCGGGCUCAACCUGGGAACUGCAUCUGUGACUGCAUCGCUGGAGUGCGGCAGAGGGGGAUGGAAUUCCGCGUGUAGCAGUGAAAUGCGUAGAUAUGCGGAGGAAUACUGAUGGCGAAGGCAGCCCCCUGGGAUAACACUGACGCUCAUGCACGAAAGCGUGGGGAGCAAACAGG